AUAAAUGAAAUGCACAGGUUGAAUAAUUAAUACUAGCAUUCAAUUAUUUAAUUUACUAAAAUUAUAUGUUAAGUUUUUUUAGUUGCUAUUUUUAAGUUGCAUUUAAGUUGUUAGCUUGUCAUUUCUGGUCUUUGAAAUUUUUUUUCUUUUCAAUUUAUUUAUUUUGAUUUUAUAUAUUGGAAUUAUUUUGUAACCUUUUUAUGUUUUAACUGAUCCAUGUGUCUCUUUGUCUUACAGGUAAAAAUCCUUUGUGAAGUCACCAGAUAUGGAUGGGUGAAUACUGCAUCUAAAGUUAAAAUUGCUUGGAAAUAAGAUUAGAAAUGCCUUUCUCUUGCAAAGUGUGUCAGUACUCUGUAAAGUCUAUUCCAGAAUUUGUAAGACAUGCUAAGGAACACAGGAAUCUUGCAAACUAUAGAUUCUCUUGUGGAUUUUUCCAGUGUCCAUGUAACUUCAAAACUGCCGUUGGCCUUCGUACACAUAUGUAUCGUAACCAUGCAGUGAUUACACCAAGUGCUGACAAAUCACACAGUGGUGUAAAUAUGAGAUGCCAGGUUAUGCAAUGUUCUUUCACUUCCACAUCUGGGGAUGCAUUGUGAGACGAAUAUCUCUGUGUAGGUCUAUGCAGUGUUGAAUGUUUUUCAUUUCUUUCAGUGUGUAUGUUGUUCGACAUUGCAGCGGGCUGAUGAGUUAAUAAAGAGGUAAGUCAUUUUCAAGUCUGUUUAUCACAUUGAUGUCUGUCAAGCUUUAGUGCAACUUAGUUUUUGUGUUUUGUUCUCUAUAGGCAGCAAAAACCUGGGAUCUGCAUUGGCCCUGUCAAGUCUGGAGAGUGUUUUUACCGUUUAAUGAAUUAAAUUGUAAUAAAAGUUUUUAAAUGGACUUCUGAGUGUUGUCAUAAUUUAUAAGCCUUUAUAUUUCAUUAUUUUUUAAGCAUGUAACAGAUUGUAGUUAGUUAUAUGUUGUGUAUAUAUGCGUAUAUGUGAAUAUAAAAACUACCGUAAUCAAUUAUAUUGCAUAGUAACUUUACAGUAUUUUAAAAUACAGUGCA
This is a long non-coding RNA of Carassius carassius (crucian carp), 1045 nucleotides long. RefSeq lists it as uncharacterized. NCBI's taxonomy places the organism in Eukaryota, Metazoa, Chordata, Actinopteri, Cypriniformes, Cyprinidae. The record is from RefSeq and is a predicted model, not a curated record. The transcript is spliced from 3 exons.